This 1297-nucleotide long non-coding RNA is filed under the name Betta splendens (Siamese fighting fish). RNAcentral describes it as "lncRNA (ENSBSLG00000025035.1)". Lineage: Eukaryota; Metazoa; Chordata; Actinopteri; Anabantiformes; Osphronemidae. The record is from RNAcentral.
CUUGCAAUUCUAGCGCAGCAUCCUGAGGGGGAGGUGGCACUUCUCCCAGGCAGGGUGCCAAGGGGGGCAGGAUGUCCGAUCUGUCAACGUUUCUUAUCAUUCGUGGCUCACAAUGCACCCGGGCACCCGACAAGGAGAAGUGAAGUCUGAUAAAAAGGUGCAGUGUGUAAUUCCAUAUGUGGCGCAGAUGAUCUCCAAAUCAGCUGUGUGCGGGUAUUGUCGUGACGGAUUAGCUGCCGCUUCACUGGCUGGGGUGGAAUAUCUGUCGGGCCUGACCUUGAAACGUGCUUGGUGUGAAUGAGACGUGCAGUUAUGUUAUUGAAUAUAACAACAGAACAGUGGCACAGCACCAGCAUCAACCAGCUUCAGCAUCUGUAGUAGAGAAUCUGCAUACAGUAUAUACAUAUGAUGACGCUGUUGAUCUGUCCUCCGAUGACAGGUUUGCUGUCACUAGGCCCAACCUGAGGACAGCUCAUCCUGAGUGAAGGUCAGUAAAACUAUAACUAACCAUUUUUCACCUUCAGGAGUCUUCAAGUCUUUUGCUUCAGAAUGAACAAUAGCUACUGUGGCACGGACGGGCACUUCAGACAAAGCCACGGGAAGAGGAGCAGGAGUAUAUUAAUGAAACACCAGUGGGAGCAGCGCUGAUGAGAGAUCGUUGGUCUUGCCCAUGACGUCAUAGAAGGAAGCGGUUGGCCGCCGCCUCCUCUAGUCAACUCAAGCAUGAACAACACUCUGCUUGGCUCCAGAGGGAUAUUGCACAAAAACAGAUCAAGAUUUCCAGGACAAGUGGCUUGGCCUAGUUUACUAAACUUCACCCUGUGUUAUUCCUUUGGACGAUUGCCAAGCCAGGAUAAAAACACGAAACUACUAUUACACAGACAAGCACGAUACGGAAAGGAAAUGCCUAAAACCAAAGGCAGAUAAGAAGUUUGAUCAUUUCAAAGGAGAAUGAAGGAGUCAACCAUAACCAUCUGCUGGCCUGGAGGAGCAAUCGGAUGCUGGCAACCUGAUCAGGUAACAACACAAUCACACUGUCAACGCGCUUGAACCCUCCGAUUUGCCUAGAACUUCUAUAACGUACUUUCAGCCUCCUGUGGCACCUGUGAGUAUUUGGAGAGCGAGAUGUCCAGAGAAUAAGAAAGGACUUUGGUGUUAGCAGCUGCUUGGAUCUGUGAACCAUAAAGGAAAAGAUUAGGCUUUUGUGGUAAUAUGGAAUCACGUUGCAUCACGAAGGAGGAUGGUGACAAGGGUAAUGACACUAUACACAUACUGUAAGAAAAAGCAGUUGUUUAAG